This 361-nucleotide long non-coding RNA is filed under the name Cricetulus griseus (Chinese hamster). Its description in RNAcentral is "lncRNA (ENSCGRG00015041466.1)". The record is from RNAcentral. Lineage: Eukaryota; Metazoa; Chordata; Mammalia; Rodentia; Cricetidae.
GAUCUUACAGCUGACAGGAGAGGUCUGAACCUCCAAGGCAAGAUCUGGCUGGCUUGACUUCAGGGUUAAGAGCUGUGUUUGCUCCUGUAAAACACAGACAGGAAGUCAGGUACUCUAAAUAUCUUAAGCAAUCAUUUGUGGCUUUGAUAGAGUGACCAUACCCAUGCUCGGAGAUGUGGAGAAUACAGAAACAGGUAUCCGGCAGAAGACGUCCACAAUUCAUCACUCAGGAGCUGGGAAGAUGGACCCCAUAGAGUUCGGUCAAAGCAACGAAGGUCAGAUGGAGGAGGUUCCCAAACAGCAACCAAAUUCCCAACCUCAGGGGAAACUCUACCGUCUGCAUAUGGUCACAGUUGUCCCA